CCUACGGGAGACAGCAGUGAGGAAUAUUGGUCAAUGGUCGGGCGUCUGAACCAGCCAAGCCGCGUGAAGGAUGAAUGUACAGUGGGUUGUAAACUUCUUUUAUCAGGGAAUAAAAUGUUCCACGUGUGGCAUUUUGUGUGUCCCAUAUGAAUAAGCAUCGGCUACCUCCGUGCCAGCAGCCGCGGUAAUACGGAGGAUCCGAGCGUUAUCCGGAUUUCUUGGGUUUAACGGGAGCGGAGGUGGAUUGUUAAGUCAGUUGGGAAAGGUUGCGGCUCAACCGUAACAUUGCCGUUGAAACUGGCAGUCUCGAGUACAGGAGAGGUGGGCGGAAUGCGCGGUGUAGCGGUGAAAUGCGUAGAUAUCACGAAGAACUCCGAUUGCGAAGGCAGCUCACGGGACUGCAACUGACACUGAGGCACGAAAGCGUGGGUAUCAAACAGGAUUAGAUACCCCAGUAGUC
Molecule: ribosomal RNA, 460 nt
Filed under: uncultured bacterium
Lineage: Bacteria
Description: partial 16S ribosomal RNA
Rfam family: Bacterial small subunit ribosomal RNA
Source: RNAcentral